This 448-nucleotide ribosomal RNA is filed under the name uncultured bacterium. RNAcentral describes it as "SSU rRNA". It matches the Rfam family "Bacterial small subunit ribosomal RNA", at positions 26 to 518 of the family's 1533-position model. The record is from RNAcentral.
AGAGCGAACGCUGGCGGCAGGCCUAACACAUGCAAGUCGAGCGCGUGUAGCAAUACACGAGCGGCAGACGGGAGAGUAACACGUGGGAACGCGCCCUUUGGUUCGGAAUAACUCAGGGAAACUUGAGCUAAUACCGGAUAAGCCCUUACGGGGAAAGAUUUAUCGCCAAAGGAACGGCCCGCGUCCGAUUAGCUAGUUGGUGAGGUAACGGCUCACCAAGGCUACGAUCGGUAGCUGGUCUAAGAGGAUGAUCAGCCUCACUGGGACUGAGACACGGCCCAGACUCCUACGGGAGGCAGCAGUGGGGAAUAUUGGACAAUGGGCGCAAGCCUGAUCCAGCCAUGCCGCGUGGAUGAUGAAGGCCUUAGGGUUGUAAAGUCCUUUUAACGGGGAAGAUAAUGACGGUACCCGUAGAAUAAGCCCCGGCUAACUUCGUGCCAGCAGCCGC